UAGUCUCUGUUUCAUACCUUCAUAGUUUGCUUUUCUAAAAUUGUAUACCUUAGCUUUAGUCAUUACUUUUGGGGUUUUAAAAAUCACUUUAAAUGAGAUCAUGUUGUGCUCUGGGUUUGCCAAUGUCUCUCUGACCUCUGUUUUAGGUAUUCUGCCUUUGUUAUUUGAAAAGACUAAAUCAAGGCAAUUCUCCCCUCUAGUCGGUACCUUGACAAAUUCCGUUAGGAAGCAGUCAUUUGUCAUUUCCACCAUUUCAAUUUCGUCUGUCGUGCUCCCCACCGGGUUCUCCCAUUUUAUACGGGGGAAGUUGAAAUCCCCCAUUAGUAUGGCCUCCUUUGCUACAGGCAUUUCUAAUGUUAUUGUAUAACAGAUUAUUUUGCUCAGCGUCUGAAUUUGGCGAUCUAUGGCACGCUCCUAUUAUUAUGCCCUUUGAAUUUUUGUACAUUAUUCUGACCCUUAUUGAUUCGCCAUUGUUUUCUUUGUCCAGAUUUAACACCUGGGCUUCAAGACUAUUUCUUAUGUAUAGCGCUACCCCUCUGCCACCUGUCCUGGCUGUCUUUCCUAUACAAAUGCUAAACUCCAGGAUCUGUAGCUAAAUGCCAGCAAACAAACCCGAACUCCACUUCACCAUUGUGCACAUUUAAACUUAUAAUUCACCACUUACAAUAAUAGCACUCACUCUGGACUUGUAACUCUGGACGUGUUUGUGUUUGUUGUGUCUUGUUCGUGUGAUUACUGUUAUUGUUUCGGGUCUGAACCCCACAGUUUUGACUGGCUUUACACAUUGCUGCGUAUAGCAAGUAUUAUUAUUUAAGCAAAUAAUAAAGCUUUGUUUUCAUCAUUGAA
This is a long non-coding RNA of Acipenser ruthenus (sterlet), 846 nucleotides long. RefSeq lists it as uncharacterized. The transcript has 2 exons. NCBI's taxonomy places the organism in Eukaryota, Metazoa, Chordata, Actinopteri, Acipenseriformes, Acipenseridae. The record is from RefSeq and is a predicted model, not a curated record.